Molecule: ribosomal RNA, 442 nt
Filed under: uncultured Bacillota bacterium
Lineage: Bacteria; Bacillati; Bacillota
Description: bacterial SSU rRNA
Rfam family: Bacterial small subunit ribosomal RNA
Source: RNAcentral
GGGCCCGCACAAGCGGUGGAGUAUGUGGUUUAAUUCGACGCAACGCGAAGAACCUUACCAAGACUUGACAUACCAAUGAUCGGUUCAGAGAUGAAUCUUCCUUCGGGCAUUGGAUACAGGUGGUGCAUGGUUGUCGUCAGCUCGUGUCGUGAGAUGUUGGGUUAAGUCCCGCAACGAGCGCAACCCUUAUUUUCAGUAGCCAUCAGGUUAAGCUGGGCACUCUGGAAAGACUGCCGUGGAUAACACGGAGGAAGGUGGGGAUGAGGUCAAAUCAUCAUGCCCCUUAUGUCUUGGGCUACACACGUACUACAAUGGGCGAGACAAAGUGAAGCGAGCAGGCGACUGUAAGCAAAAGCACAAAAACUCGUUCCCAGUUCGGAUUGCAGGCUGCAACUCGCCUGCAUGAAGUUGGAAUCGCUAGUAAUCGCGAAUCAGCAUGUCG